RNAcentral lists this transfer RNA (79 nucleotides) under Yersinia pestis KIM10+. Its description in RNAcentral is "tRNA-Ala". It matches the Rfam family "tRNA". Rfam says of the family: Transfer RNA (tRNA) molecules are approximately 80 nucleotides in length. Their secondary structure includes four short double-helical elements and three loops (D, anti-codon, and T loops). The record is from RNAcentral. Lineage: Bacteria; Pseudomonadati; Pseudomonadota; Gammaproteobacteria; Enterobacterales; Yersiniaceae.
GGGGCUAUAGCUCAGCUGGGAGAGCGCUUGCAUGGCAUGCAAGAGGUCGACGGUUCGAUCCCGUCUAGCUCCACCACCC